UACGAAGGGGGCUAGCGUUGUUCGGAAUUACUGGGCGUAAAGGGCGCGUAGGCGGUGUGUCAAGUCAGGCGUGAAAGCCCCGGGCUCAACCUGGGAACCGCGCUUGAGACUGGCAGACUCGAGUUCGGGAGAGGAUGGUGGAAUUCCCAGUGUAGAGGUGAAAUUCGUAGAUAUUGGGAAGAACACCGAUGGCGAAGGCAGCCAUCUGGACCGACACUGACGCUGAGGCGCGAAAGCGUGGGGAGCAAACGGG
Molecule: ribosomal RNA, 253 nt
Filed under: uncultured bacterium
Lineage: Bacteria
Description: partial 16S ribosomal RNA
Rfam family: Bacterial small subunit ribosomal RNA
Source: RNAcentral